GAUGAACGCUGGCGGCGUGCUUAACACAUGCAAGUCGAACGAUGAAGCUCAGCUUGCUGGGUGGAUUAGUGGCGAACGGGUGAGUAACACGUGAGUAACCUGCCCUUAACUCUGGGAUAAGCCUGGGAAACUAGGUCUAAUACCGGAUAGGAGCGCCUACCGCAUGGUGGGUGUUGGAAAGAUUUAUCGGUUUUGGAUGGACUCGCGGCCUAUCAGCUUGUUGGUGAGGUAAUGGCUCACCAAGGCGACGACGGGUAGCCGGCCUGAGAGGGUGACCGGCCACACUGGGACUGAGACACGGCCCAGACUCCUACGGGAGGCAGCAGUGGGGAAUAUUGCACAAUGGGCGAAAGCCUGAUGCAGCGACGCCGCGUGAGGGAUGACGGCCUUCGGGUUGUAAACCUCCUUCAGUAGGGAAGAAGCGAAAGUGACGGUACCUGCAGAAGAAGCACCGGCUAACUACGUG
RNAcentral lists this ribosomal RNA (466 nucleotides) under uncultured bacterium. RNAcentral describes it as "partial 16S ribosomal RNA". It matches the Rfam family "Bacterial small subunit ribosomal RNA", at positions 28 to 507 of the family's 1533-position model. The record is from RNAcentral.